CUUGACUCCAGCCCAAGCUCUUUCUCUCUUUUCUCUAAGGCGGGAACCUAGGGCACUGGCUCUACACAUGUGGCGGUCCUGCCUAAGUCACUUUUGGAAGCAUCUGUUCCGGACUGGUCUUUCUGGCCCCCAGACCUUGACUUUCUGGAUCUUUGGGACCCUGCCCGGCAGGAUGGACUUUAUGUGUCUGGGGCAGUGGGAGGGCAGAAACCCAGAGUCAGCAGUGAUUGCUUUUUUAAGUAACCUGGAUGAAAAUCCUGAGAGGACCAGCUUUUGAUCCUGCAGAACAGGCCUGGGUUCUGCAAACAGCCUGACCCCCGAGGGGCUCCUAAGUCUCCACCAGGACUUCUGCCCAGCAGUUCCAGACCAUCAUCUACAGCUGACCAGCUCUCUUGUCUCUGAAAGCCCAGGGCUGCCUCUGGGGGAGCAGGCUUUAGGCAUUUCUUUUUUCUUUCUUUUUUUUUAGGUCCGCACCUGCAGCAUAUGGAAGGCCUACCACAGCCACAGCAACUCCAGAUCUGAGCCUUGUCUGUGACCUACGUUGCAACUCGAAGCAAUGCUGGAUCCUUAACCCACUGAGCAGGGCCAAGGAUCGAACCCAACCUCAGAGCCUGGCUGUCAGUUUGACCUGUUGGAUGGAGGAAUGCCUGACCGAAUGCGGAAUGAACUUGUGCUCACGAAGGUUAAAUGAGAUACCAUGAAAUCUCUGGGAACAGAAUCUAUUCCUCGGGGAAGGAACGUGAGGAAGGUUGAUUGGCAUGAAAUCAUUAUCAAGUGGGACCAUCAGCAGAAGCGAGGCACAGGCAAAACUGGUAACUCCAGGAAACACUCAAUUUUCCGUCGGCUGUCUAUCCUUCCUCGGCUCUUCUGGCUUUUGCUGCAACGUGGACAUCCUGAAGCAUGUUCUGCCUCUUUUAGGACUGCAAAAAAAAAAAAAAAAAAAAAAAAAAAAAAAAAGGAGAAAAAAAAUGAAAUAAGAAGGUGAUGGGCAUCUCCAGUCAAGGCCUAUAAAACCCCUCCGUUCUCCGGAGUCCACGGGAAAAGUGUCACAACCUGUAGGCUUGUUCCUGUCCCCAUCCCAGAGACAGUCGCUUGUUGGUUUUAACUGGAAAAAUAAACAUUUGAAAA
RNAcentral lists this long non-coding RNA (1128 nucleotides) under Sus scrofa (pig). RNAcentral describes it as "lncRNA (ENSSSCG00040065549.1)". The record is from RNAcentral. Lineage: Eukaryota; Metazoa; Chordata; Mammalia; Artiodactyla; Suidae.